CUCCUUUUGGCCUUCCUUCGAGGCCUCUCCUGCCUCCCUCUGCUCCACCGCAUGGGCCGGGGACAUUCUUCAGGACCUCACCUCCCUGCAGGACAGGCCUUCCUGAAGCUCUCGGGUAAAUAUUUACACCUUGAGGGUGUCCUGGGGAAUGCUGUUACCCUCCUUUAAGCGAGCAGCUUUCACCAAAGGCAAAAGGGUUCCCUGAACCUCUCCCUUCCUCCCCCUCCUCUCUACCGCCUUGGCCUAGAGCAGGGAGCCGGCCAGCAGGAGCCGAGGGAUCUCAUUAGCUGCCUGUGCGAGGCUGUGGGGCCUACGAGGUCCCAUUCCCGUCCACGCAGUCCUCAUAAGGACCUUAAGGCAUUGGUGCUACGACUCCUUCUGAGCUCAGAGAAGCUGGACAACUUGGCCAAAGCAGCACAGCUAGUCAUGACAGAGACAUAACUUGAACUCAGGUCUGCUGGUGGCACUUGAAUGGAUGUUCUUUCUUUGGAAACCAGGUGGGGGCCCGCUUCAGAGAGAGGCCGGACAGACCGCGGCUGCCCGCAGGACAGUGAGACUGAGGAAGCGUGCACAAUUCAUGAGCGGGUAUUGGGUGGAUAAGGAGACACCCGUCAGAGGCUCUGGGUUCUUCUAUCAGCGUGGGCAGUCUGCCCACCCCUCUCAUAUUCCGGAGGGGAGCACUAGCCACUCUCCCCGGACGGCGCCUCAUUCCGGGGCUUCGGAUGUGGGAGGGAGAGGACAUGCUAGCGGAUCUGGGGAGCUGGGGCUCCCCAGGAAUCUGGUCUCAUAGGAGAGUUUACCCAGUGGCAGCCACAAGCCCUCUGCUGUCAGAAACCAUGGCCCAGGGAGGGGAGCCAGGCCAAGGAAGGCCCAGUAAUUCUCACUCUAAGCAAAGUAUGUCAACCCUGCCGUUUCCUUGUGACCCUGUAAUCCGAUUGUAGAUGCAUCGGACUCCUUUGAGCAAUACGUAUACAAGAGGGGGGUUCAGGUACUCCUUUGGAGCGUGGAAAAUUGGAGUCAGGAAGCCAAAAUGGGAGCACUGUGCCCUCGUCUUGUUCUGUGACUUGGGGGCAGCGAGCCCCCUGUCUCUAAACCUCCGUUUCCUGGUCUGUACAGUGGGGGAGAAAGUAAUGUAACCCGUGGGUAACUGUGUUCCACGUGGUCCAGUCUUGGCUUGGCGACACAUGGAAAGAAUCACAGACUCGCAACCAGGGCGUAAUACAAAGAACUUUAAAUCUUUGCUUUGGCCUUUCUAGGAGAUCCCAAAGUGGGCAGCAGGACUGGGGCCGGAGAGAAGUUUAUUCCUAAUUCAUAGCGAUACUGAGAAGCCCCCCACCCCCACGGUGUCUCAGUAUUCUCCACACACACAGCAGUGGUUUCUUCCCCCACUACUCCCGUCCAGACUCCCCCACACACAGAGCCCAAGCCGCCUAUCAGCAUUUCUCCACCUGGAUUCUAACAUGUUGAUCCAAUAAGUUUCUCCCUUAGGCUUCUUCUCACACCGGGGAGGGUGGGAAGCUGACUGGACCCUCAGAGAACCCCAGGGACCUGGGGGAAGACAAGGAGGGCCCCACAUGCAUGCUGACUUGUCCCUGCUCCUUGUCACAGGCCACGGUGCUAGAGCUGAUAUUUAUGGCGUGGGCACCAGGCACCGUGCAAAUCGAACUCACAACGGCCCUGGGGGGGGGGUGGGGUGGACUGUGAAGGCCCCCGGGGCACGACUGAGGAGUCUGAGACCCUGGGAGGUCACCUUGUCCAAGACCUCACAACUGUAGGUUAGAAGGGCCAAGUUUCAAGGUCAGGCCUUUGGACUGCAGAGCCCAUACUGGUAAGCAUCCUGCCGGGCUGGUAGUUGCCUUCUCAAGGGUAUGGACCACUGAGUCCCACGAAGGGCCCACGAAAGCGUGUUCGGAGGCUUGGACAGCGCUGGGCACACGGAGCGCAAUGAAACUUGACUCACUGACUGCCUAACCAGCCAACCGAGGGAGGUACUUUAUAAAACAUGGCGUGCUUUUUUGGGUGACAUCUUUGAAAAGCCAAACUUUUCUAUGCAAUGUUUUUGACCUUCAAGUGGAGGGACCCAUAGGUAAGGCGUGGGCUCCGAUCUGAUGGGGAAGGCCUGGGUGCCAACCUCUUCAUCUGCACGGAGUUCCCGCAGGUGCUGAGCCCGGCUGCGCACCCCCAGGGGUGCCUCCCCCCAUUAUCUGCAGAAGGCAGACACGUCAGGAGGGCCCCCCCGGGCUCUGAGACCACACGAGGGAGUCCUGUGAGGAGUCCCGACAAGCCUUCUUUGAAGCUGUGUGACUUGGGACAAGUUCCUUAACCUUUCUGAGCCUGCAUUUUGUCUUCUGGAUGUUCGUGCUACCUUGCAAAGUCAUUGCAAGGUUAGGAGCUCCUGAUACAAAAUGUCUAAAACUGGCCGAGGACGAGGACGUGGACGUGGUGGGCAUCUGAGUAAGCCAGGCUUUCUCAGGCUCAGCACUACUGACAUUUGAGGCUGGAUAAUUCUGAUUUUUGUGGGGCCGUCCUGUGCACUGUGGGGUAUUCGACAACAUCCCCGGCCUCUACUCCCUAGGUGCCAGGACCACCUUCCAGUAUGACCACCAAAAAUGUCUCCAGACCUUGACAGAUGUCCCUCAACCCUGUUCGAGAGCCACUGGAACAAUCAAAGCUAUUUUUUCCCUUAAUUUGAAGAUCUAAUUGGCUUUAUUAAACAAUUCAUGAAUCAGGCAGCCUCCCAUCCAGCAAGGAGAGGGGAGCUCUUGGAAUAAUUGUAGCUAUUGUUAUAAAAAAUAAGAAUGUUUUUUUAAUUUUUCAUUUAUUAUUAUUUUUGAAG
Molecule: long non-coding RNA, 2836 nt
Filed under: Lynx pardinus (Iberian lynx)
Lineage: Eukaryota; Metazoa; Chordata; Mammalia; Carnivora; Felidae
Source: RNAcentral